RNAcentral lists this ribosomal RNA (2056 nucleotides) under Triticum aestivum (bread wheat). RNAcentral describes it as "partial small subunit ribosomal RNA". The record is from RNAcentral. Lineage: Eukaryota; Viridiplantae; Streptophyta; Magnoliopsida; Poales; Poaceae.
GCGCCGCCUCGUCGUCCCCUCUACCUGCCGCCUAACCCUCUCCGCCGCCCCCGCUGCGCCGCCUCGUCCCCGCUGCCUGCCGCCCCGUGUCGCCGAUACCGCCGACCAGCGGAACGAUCUAGCUUGUUCUGCUCUCUCCCUCUCUCCGCUCUUCACUUUGCUUGCCCGGUUGGGAGGAGACAGAGCGCACAACUCCUUUGACGUGCUCCUGCAUAAUCAGGUCUAAAGCAAGUAAUAAUCGAUUAACUUGUCUAUUGUUGCGGUUCCCCCCGUUAGUCGUUCUUCCUCUACCAUGACUCCCCGAAGUCUCCCUCCGUUUGGUUCUUUCCCAAGAUAGUAGUUUCCGCUCCCUUGACCCCCCCAAUUUUAGUUAAGAGGGAGACACCCCUAAGGUGGUAAUCGUCUUUCUAGUUCCGUUACACUAUUGAAAUACUCCUGUAUAAAACACAGAUUUAGACGACUCAAUAUACUACACAUUGUACCGUCACAACGACUUACCUUCCUCCAUUAAACGAACGAGAAAGAUUUAAACAACCAAAGAAGUACGAUAUAACUAAUUAUAACAUUAUAAAUUAUAACAAAACAGCCGAGGGAACAACAACACUAGAAGCACAACUUUUCCGUCAUGCUUGUGAGCUAAUCUCCUAGGACGAUCCGGAGAGAUGGAGUAUCUUGAACUAUACCCAACGGAACAAGGAGAGUAAGAAUAAGAAGAGUCUUAAAUCCCAACCCGCAACUUGUAUGUACGUGUCCAACCAAAGUCAAAAGACACAUUUGACUUCGUCCCCUAUUCAGUUAUAUGUAUACAGCACAAGGUCUAAUCUUUAAUUCUCUUCUCUCUCUCUUUGCUAACCAAUCAUUUUAUACAUCGACGUUCAAAUGUAUCACCUUAACGACUGGUUUCAAAAAGAGAUUACAUGUAAAGCCUUUAAGGAUUAUGAAUUUUGAACAAAAAGUCGGGCAAAAGACAGUAGUCUUUUAUGUUUAUCGUAAAAAAAGUUAGUCAAUUGUCAUACUUGUCAGUCGAUUGUUAUGUUUAUACCAUCGUAAAAAGUCGGAUAAUGAAUGACUUACGCUCAGUAACCGUAAAAAAGUCAGCCAAUUGUUUGUCAAAAAGUCAAUCACUUGUUUAUCGUUGUGAAGUCUUCGAAAAAAUCUAUUCGAUGUCUCUAUUCGUCGUCAAAAAGUUAGUCAAUUGUUUGUCGUCGUGUUGUCAAAAAGUCAGUGGACUAGAAACAGGUUAAAAAAGAGCGAACAAUGUCCAGUGGUAACAUAAGCUGGACCCUUGGAUGUAUGUCUAAAAGUAGAUACUAUAAAGUCGUAGAAGAUACGAAGGUUAGACAAUUAAAUUAAAAUGAAUAUUUGCCGUGUUGGAAGGGAAGAGGAAAAAGCACACAUCUUAACUACUAACUACAUCAAAGUGACUUAGUUUUAUGACUACGGAAAAGGGAAGAGGAACUGUCGAAACGCUCUCGAUCCUUUCAUAACCACCUUAGAGUACUUCUUCUCUCUGUCUAUUACAAACUCCACUUAAGGAAGUGGACGGGACGAAUACCCUUUAAGACGUUACUACGGGUCGCCGUGUGGUGAGAGUUCAGACUCUACUUAAGGAAGUGGUCUCCAAGAGGAAGCACUCGAUGCAGUCGCGAGUCUUCCGUACGUAGCUUCGGGAACUGCCGACCAACAGGUCCAAGUAGGAUUGUCUGUGGUAAACAAUGAGGGCCCCCUAGAGGAACUAACGCGGGCUGUCCCGGCCGUGCGGCGGGGACCACCACUAGUACUCACCGUGUGGUACGACAGCUGCUGACCUAGCUAGGAGGAGUGAUCACUGAGGCCGUAUCCUGAACCGCUACCCCUCUCCAGCAAGUCGCGACGCCUCUCGACCACGGUUCUUGAUUGACAACUACACCUUAGUAUAAAUAAUUUAUUAAUAGUCAAACUGAAUAAGCGAACAUAAGUUUGACAUGACGUAAAAACAAACUCAGUACAAAAAAGUACAAGUACUAUCAAGAAUAUAUGACACGAAGAGUAUUAAACCCACCCUGAAAAAUAUCUC